UCCCAGGUGGCUCAAUGGUAAAGAAUCUGCCUGUGAAGCAGGAGACACAAGUUCAAUUCUUGGGUAGGGAA
This 71-nucleotide transfer RNA is filed under the name Bos taurus (domestic cattle). It matches the Rfam family "tRNA". Rfam says of the family: Transfer RNA (tRNA) molecules are approximately 80 nucleotides in length. RNAcentral also lists the same sequence under 4 other names. The record is from Rfam by way of RNAcentral. Lineage: Eukaryota; Metazoa; Chordata; Mammalia; Artiodactyla; Bovidae.